This 424-nucleotide ribosomal RNA is filed under the name Verrucomicrobiota bacterium. RNAcentral describes it as "Verrucomicrobia bacterium partial 16S ribosomal RNA". It matches the Rfam family "Bacterial small subunit ribosomal RNA", at positions 355 to 776 of the family's 1533-position model. The record is from RNAcentral. Lineage: Bacteria; Pseudomonadati; Verrucomicrobiota.
UGAGGAAUAUUGGUCAAUGGGCGAGAGCCUGAACCAGCCAAGUAGCGUGCAGGAUGACGGCCCUAUGGGUUGUAAACUGCUUUUAUAUGGGAAUAAAGUGAGGGACGUGUCCCUUAUUGCAUGUACCAUAUGAAUAAGGACCGGCUAAUUCCGUGCCAGCAGCAGCGGUAAUACGGAAGGUCCAGGCGUUAUCCGGAUUUAUUGGGUUUAAAGGGAGCGUAGGCUGUUUGUUAAGCGUGUUGUGAAAUGUAAGAGCUCAACUUUUAGAUUGCAGCGCGAACUGGCAGACUUGAGUGCGCACAACGUAGGCGGAAUUCAUGGUGUAGCGGUGAAAUGCUUAGAUAUCAUGACGAACUCCGAUUGCGCAGGCAGCUUACUGUAGCAUAACUGACGCUGAUGCUCGAAAGUGCGGGUAUCAAACAGG